UACAGAGGUCUCAAGCGUUGUUCGGAUUCAUUGGGCGUAAAGGGUGCGUAGGCGGCGCGGUAAGUCGGGUGUGAAAUCUCGGAGCUUAACUCCGAAACUGCAUUCGAUACUGCCGUGCUUGAGGACUGGAGAGGAGACUGGAAUUUACGGUGUAGCGGUGAAAUGCGUAGAUAUCGUAAGGAAGACCAGUGGCGAAGGCGGGUCUCUGGGCAUUUCCUGACGCUGAGGCGCGAAAGCCAGGGGAGCGAACGGG
This 253-nucleotide ribosomal RNA is filed under the name uncultured bacterium. Its description in RNAcentral is "partial 16S ribosomal RNA". It matches the Rfam family "Bacterial small subunit ribosomal RNA", at positions 524 to 776 of the family's 1533-position model. The record is from RNAcentral.